Molecule: long non-coding RNA, 608 nt
Organism: Ipomoea nil (Japanese morning glory)
Lineage: Eukaryota; Viridiplantae; Streptophyta; Magnoliopsida; Solanales; Convolvulaceae
Exons: 2
Source: RefSeq, a predicted model, not a curated record
UUUCCCUAGUUAGUACCCAUGCAGGCCUAUAUUGGUAUCCACUAUUGUUUUGUGCCUAAUCUGAGUUAUGAUUCUACACAUGACACCGCAACCAAUGUUCAGACCCGACUCCGCGAGAUCUGAAGCCUGCUGCAGUGCUGCGAGAAGAGGCGAGAGCUGCAAGGUUCAACUCCCUUCUCCGCCUGAGUUCCGACGCCACCACCAGCGCGGCAGCGCCACCGGCCACAACUCAGAAGUCUGCCUCAAAUCUCAACUUCAAGGUGUUUUCAACUUCCCAUGCAGCAGAAGAGAUGAUUGAUAGAAAGGUGUAUUCUAAUGCUGACUUCCUAAGAAGAGAAUGCACAAUUGAAACCAGUGGAGAUUGUCUGUUUCUUGAGAAAAUAAUGAUGAAUGAUUGGUUUCUUGUACUUAUGACAAUGUUUUUAUCAUAUCUAGGCAGAUGUAGCUCAAUUAAUUACCAAGGCACUUCUUAUACUUAUGACAAUGUUUUUAUCAUAUCUAGGCAGAUGUAGCUCCAUUAAUUACCAAGGCACUUCUUAUCUUAUUUCCCUGUAGUGUGUCAUUCUCCUGAGUUGAAAUGAUGAUGAUUGGAUAAAGUUGCAGUUUAA